AUUCCAGCUCCAAUAGCGUAUAUUAAAGUUGUUGCAGUUAAAAAGCUCGUAGUUGGAUUUCUGGUUAGAUGCGCCUGGCCCGCCGACGUUCAGUCGUGUGAAGUGCUGGUGCGCAACUGCCAUCCUUCUAGAGAAGGGACCAACGGUUCAUUCCGGUUCGGUUCACAAUCUAGAUCUUUUACUUUGAAAAAAUUAGAGUGUUUAAAGCAGGCUUUUGCUAUGAAUACAUUAGCAUGGGAUAAUAAGAUAGGACUUUGGUUCUAUUUUGUUGGUUGGAGGCCAAGGUAAUGAUUAAUAGGGAUAGUUGGGGGUAUUCAUAUUUAAUUGUCAGAGGUGAAAUUCUUGGAUUUAUGAAAGAUGAACUUAUGCGAAAGCAUUUACCAAGGAUGUUUUCAUUA
This 398-nucleotide ribosomal RNA is filed under the name Stramenopiles sp. Its description in RNAcentral is "partial small subunit ribosomal RNA". It matches the Rfam family "Eukaryotic small subunit ribosomal RNA", at positions 582 to 975 of the family's 1831-position model. The record is from RNAcentral.